Molecule: ribosomal RNA, 1477 nt
Filed under: metagenome
Description: bacterial SSU rRNA
Rfam family: Bacterial small subunit ribosomal RNA
Source: RNAcentral
AGAGUUUGAUCCUGGCUCAGAACGAACGCUGGCGGCGCGUUUAAGGCAUGCAAGUCGAACGGAAAGGUCCCUUCGGGGAUACUCGAGUGGCAAACGGGUGAGUAACACGUGGAUAAUCUACCCUAGAGUGAGGAAUAACUCUAAGAAAUUAGAGCUAAUACCUCAUAAUAUUUAACCUACUUAUGUAGGAUAAAUCAAAGGCUUCGGUCGCUUUAGGAUGAGUCCGCGUUCCAUUAGCUUGUUGGUAAGGUAAAAGCUUACCAAGGCUACGAUGGAUAGCCGGCUUGAGAGAGUGAUCGGCCACAUUGGAACUGCGACACGGUCCAGACUCCUACGGGAGGCAGCAGCUAAGAAUCUUAGGCAAUGGGCGAAAGCCUGACCUAGCGACGCCGCGUGGGUGAUGAAGGCCUUAUAGGUUGUAAAGCCCUUUUCUACGGGAAGAAUAACUGACGGUACCGUAGGAAUAAGCCCCGGCUAAUUACGUGCCAGCAGCCGCGGCAAUACGUGAGGGGCAAGCGUUGUCCGGAAUUAUUGGGCGUAAAGGGUGCGUAGGCGGAUUGGUAAGUUGGAUGUGCAAGCUCCGGGCUCAACUCGGAAAUUGCGUCCAAAACUGCCAGUCUAGAGUUUGGAAGAGGAAAGCGGAAUUCCUGGUGUAGGAGUGAAAUCUUUAGAUAUCAGGAAGAACACCUGCGGCGAAGGCGGCUUUCUGGUCUAAAACUGACGCUGAAGCACGAAAGCCAGGGGAGCAAACGGGAUUAGAUACCCCGGUAGUCCUGGCAGUAAACGUUGUAUACUAGGUGUAUGAGGCAUCGAUCCCUCAUGUGCCAAAGCUAACGCAUUAAGUAUACCGCCUGGAGAGUAUGCCCGCAAGGGUGAAAUUCAAAGGAAUUGACGGGGGCCCGCACAAGCGGUGGAGCAUGUGGUUCAAUUCGAUGAUACGCGAGAAACCUUACCAGGGCUCGACUACCACUGGACACCCUCGAGAAAUCAGGGUUCUCUUCGGAGCCGGUGGACAGUGCUGCAUGGUUGUCGUCAGCUCGUGUCGUGAGAUGUUGGGUUAAGUCCCGCAACGAGCGCAACCCCUAUCUUCUGUUGCCACCAGGUUAUGCUGAGCACUCAGAAGAAACUGCCGUCGAAAGGCGGAGGAAGGUGGGGACGACGUCAAAUCAUCAUGGCCCUUAUGUCCUGGGCUACACACGUGCUACAAUGGACGGUACAAAUGGUUGCGAAACUGUGAGGUGGAGCUAAUCCCAAAAAACCGUUCUCAGUUCGGAUUGAAGUCUGAAACCCGACUUCAUGAAGCCGGAAUCGCUAGUAAUCGCUCAUCAGAACGGAGCGGUGAAUACGUUCCCGGGCCUUGUACACACCGCCCGUCACAUCAUCCGAGUUGGGUCCACCCGAAGUCGCUGAGCUAACCCGCAAGGGAGGCAGGCGCCGAAGGUAAAUCUAAUGAGGAGGAUGAAGUCGUAACAAGGUA